GCAUUGGUGGUUCAGUGGUAGAAUUUCUGCCUUCCAUUCAGGAAAUCUGGGUUCAGUUCCAGCCAGUACC
Molecule: transfer RNA, 70 nt
Filed under: Loxodonta africana (African savanna elephant)
Lineage: Eukaryota; Metazoa; Chordata; Mammalia; Proboscidea; Elephantidae
Rfam family: tRNA
About the family: Transfer RNA (tRNA) molecules are approximately 80 nucleotides in length. Their secondary structure includes four short double-helical elements and three loops (D, anti-codon, and T loops).
Source: Rfam by way of RNAcentral